Molecule: transfer RNA, 73 nt
Filed under: Lepidodinium chlorophorum
Lineage: Eukaryota; Dinophyceae; Gymnodiniales; Gymnodiniaceae
Description: tRNA-Ile
Rfam family: tRNA
About the family: Transfer RNA (tRNA) molecules are approximately 80 nucleotides in length.
Source: RNAcentral
AGGCUGUUAGCUCAGUGGUUAGAGCACACUCUUGAUAAGAGUGAAGUCACUGGUUCAAAUCCUGUACGGCCUA